UUAAUUGCUGUUGUACAGUAUAUAUAUAUAUACGCACAUGACAGUGACAUUGACGCAUCACACUCGUCGUUUUAAUUCGAGCAUAGCCUAAAAUAUUUUGCUUUAAUAAAGCAUCAACGAUGAAAAUAGUGUAAGCGUGUUUUUUUUAUAUUAAUCGUGAUCGAACAAUUUGUCGUUUGUGUUUACUGCGCUCAAAGACUGUGUGCAGCUUCACACAUUGACUGUUUGGUGACAAAUCUGAUUUUAAAUUAAAAAAAAAAUAAUUAUCAAAAAAUAAUAUUGAACUGAAUAAAAUUAAAAUCAAUGAUGGAUUACAGUUUGGAGUUUUCCACAACUGGACUGCAUUGUUUACCGCGGACCAGUGGCGUAACCAGUGGCGUAACUAAAACUUCGAUUGCCUGUGGCGAAAAAAUCCAGCGGGCCCUUAGGCCUUAGAUUUCAAAUUUGUAAUAUGAAGAGCAUGCACUUACUCACACAAUUUAUAUCUAGACCCACCCCUGCUAUAAAAGAUCCGGUCACUGUCCUCCGACAACUGGAUGCAUCAAUAGUUUUUAAUGAGCUGAAAUAUGCAGGCCCGACAAAAAUCAAGUUGGAAAUUCGUGAUUUCGCCGCAGGCAUUGUAGUGCAUAAUAUGACUUCAACUGGUGAUACACCCAUCAUCGCGGAUUUGAACAAAAACGAACCCGCCGCGCCGUUGCACCUGGGCACCAGGCCAAGAUGUCAUUAUCAACGACAACUACAUAAUAUUAAUAUAUUUACACGUCAUGUCCCGUCUUGUCCAAGUGUCAGCCAUGUCGCUAUGUCACGACAGCCGUUUUUUUUAUAGCAUCACGUAUUAUUUUAUUAAUUACACUGACGGUUUAUGGCCGUUUUUGUUAUAUGUCCGCCUUAGCCGUAAAUAUCUUAAUAUUAAUUUAUAUCUUAAUUUCAAUGUGCAUUCGUAUUUUGUUGUGGCACAUUCCGCCUUGAGCGUCACUGUAGUGCUUCUGUCGAAUUUAUACAUUUUAUCUGCUUGUAUGUGGUAUCUAUAUGUUAUGUUUGUUUGCGUUCCGUAUCGCUGUGUUCUUGCACGCCGUUCUUAUACAAUGACAAUAAGUUAUCCGCCCUUUUCCGUCCACGCAUCCUGUAUACCAUGGUUUAGUCGUAUACUAGUAUAAUACUACUGUCGUGUUGCGUUUUCGUCCUUUGUCGAGUCGGUGACGGUGUAACAGGAUAGUCAUGGUAUCGGCCCACUGAGUUUCAUUAAAUUAUAUAUUUCUAUACUCAUGUUUGUACUCAUUUCUCAUUAUCAUAAAAAGAAAAAGUUACCAAUUAACACUCAUAACUGGCCCAUAUUUUGAGUGGCCCACCAAGAUUUCCUCGGCAGUUUGCCGAUCCGACCAUUGCCUAAAUUGUUGAAUGUCAUACAAUAUAUUCUUCUGUCUUCUGAUGUAUCCCGGGCGUUUUGUUUCAUUCAAGGGUGUCAGCCUAAUAUCUGCCCGCGUAUCACGAUACAUAUUGUUACAUACAACAUAUUACAUUUAAUUAUUUAAAUAUUGGUUGGUGGUUACAUAAACGAUAGGUAAACAAAUUAUUAUAUUACUACGUGACAUUCCUUGCUCAUGCGACGAACCUCGCGUUUUUGUUACCAUAUUUUUGAGGGCCACACUGCCCACACUACACGCUCUUUGCUGACGGCGAUUGGAUGACCGUGUUAUUAUAUAUUUAUAAUAUUAAAAUAGUGAUCCGCCCAAAGUUAGAUUAUAAUAUAAUAUCGCACAUGCAUUAGGAAGCAGUGGUGUAGUCGUAAAUAUUUUUCUGGGUAUACACCUAAAUUGAGAAAUAUUUAAUACGUAGGGCUCCGCCCCCACACCACCCGUAUACCAAUUGACUUAGAUUUAUCUAUUAUUAUAAAUUUAUUUAAAUAUAUAAUAAUAUAUGAUUCCAUUAUAGCAAAUUAA
Long non-coding RNA from Myzus persicae (green peach aphid), 1940 nucleotides. RefSeq lists it as uncharacterized. Lineage: Eukaryota; Metazoa; Arthropoda; Insecta; Hemiptera; Aphididae. The transcript is spliced from 3 exons. The record is from RefSeq and is a predicted model, not a curated record.